Molecule: transfer RNA, 73 nt
Filed under: Streptococcus pneumoniae
Lineage: Bacteria; Bacillati; Bacillota; Bacilli; Lactobacillales; Streptococcaceae
Description: tRNA-His(gtg)
Rfam family: tRNA (bases 5-68)
About the family: Transfer RNA (tRNA) molecules are approximately 80 nucleotides in length. Their secondary structure includes four short double-helical elements and three loops (D, anti-codon, and T loops).
Source: RNAcentral
CUNGGUGUGGUGAAGUGGUUAACACACCAGAUUGUGGCUCUGGCAUGCGUGGGUUCGAUCCCCAUCACUCGCC